Long non-coding RNA from Daucus carota subsp. sativus, 565 nucleotides. RefSeq lists it as uncharacterized. NCBI's taxonomy places the organism in Eukaryota, Viridiplantae, Streptophyta, Magnoliopsida, Apiales, Apiaceae. The record is from RefSeq and is a predicted model, not a curated record. The transcript has 3 exons.
UGCCAUAUAUGAUUCAAAGGGGUACUAAUUAUUCAUAAGUAUAAAUAUACUUAACCGUACUUUAUUUUAUUACGAAAAUCAUAAAACCAGUUAAAACCGAGAAAUUCCCGAGAGAGUUCUUCGUGUUCUUGAGAUUCAAACGAGGAUUUGGACGCGUUAUCGGACUCGGAUUUUGGCGUUCAAGGGCUCAAAUUGAAGGUUUUAACAAGUAGAAUCAUAAUCUAGCAUCAAAAUCAGUGCAGCAACAUCAGAGAAGCCAGGCGUAUUAGAGGGGGAAAGCAAGUGGAUAUAGAAUAGUAUAUCGAGCAGGAGCGAUUGAAAUUUGAAAUCGUCAGUAUAAGUGAAAGCAGAGAAGGUUGGUAACGAUGAUACUCAGGCUAGUGGUAAGGCCAGGAUUCCAGGCUGAGAGAUGGAGAGAGCUAUCGGCAGCGCUUGACUUUUGAUAUAUGUAUUAAUUUGAAUAAUGAGACACAAAUGACGUGUAAGCUUGUAAGAUUUAAGUUUUUAUUUUGGGAUUUGGGUUUGUAAUAAUUGAAGUUGUGUUGUGGCUUGUUUUAUACUUUAA